GAUGAACGCUGGCGGCGUGCCUAAUACAUGCAAUUCGAGCGAAGCGCGGUCGGGUGAGUAACACUUGGAUAACCUCCUAUAAGCCUUGGAUAACUUCGGGAAACCGGAGCUAAACCGGGUCCUUAUAGAUUCAACCGCGCUGCAUUAGCUCGUUGGUCAGGUAACGGCUUACCAAGGCAACGAUGCAUAGCCGACCUGAGAGGGUGAUCGGGCCCCCUGGAUGUGGGACACGGUCCAGACUCCUACGGGAGGCAGCAGUUGGGAAGCUUCCUAAAUGGGCGAAAGCCUGACGGAGCAACGCCCCGUGACAGAUGAAGGUCUUCUGAUCGUAAAACUCUGUUAUUAGGGAAGCGGUACCUAAUCAGAAAGCCACGGCUAACUACGUGCCAGCAGCCGCGGUAAUUC
This 405-nucleotide ribosomal RNA is filed under the name uncultured bacterium. RNAcentral describes it as "partial 16S ribosomal RNA". It matches the Rfam family "Bacterial small subunit ribosomal RNA", at positions 28 to 526 of the family's 1533-position model. The record is from RNAcentral.